This 1084-nucleotide long non-coding RNA is filed under the name Homo sapiens (human). Its description in RNAcentral is "non-protein coding lnc-CNTNAP3-17:1". The record is from RNAcentral. Lineage: Eukaryota; Metazoa; Chordata; Mammalia; Primates; Hominidae.
GGAGAUGAUGACCAUAAUUGGAAAAUUGCCCAUGUGGUACUCAAAGAGGAACAGAAAUUUCGCUAACUUUUCCAGGGCACAAAAGGCGACCCUCGGAACUCAACUGGGGGAAUUUACCUGGAUGACAUCACUCUGACAGAAACCCCCUGCCCCACAGGGGUCUGGACAGUCCGGAAUUUCUCCCAGGUCCUUGAGAACACCAGCGAAGGGGACAAGCUUCAGAGCCCUCGAUUCUACAAUUCAGAGGGAUGCGGUUUUGGGUUAACUUUAUACCCCCAUGGCAGAGAAAGCUCUGGCUAUUUGAGACUUGCUUUUCACGUGUGCAGUGGGGAGAAUGAUGCUAUCCUGGAGUGGCCGGUAGAAAACAGACAGGUGAUAAUUACCAUCUUCGACCAGGAGCCUGAUGUCAGGAACAGGAUGUCCUCAAGUUUGGUGUUCACUACCUCCAAGUUGCACAUAUCUCAAAUGACACUGUCAUCUGGGACAGGCCGUCCAGGGUGGGAACCUAUCAUGCUGACUGUAAUUGUUUUAGAAGCAUUGACUUUGGCUGGAGUGGUUUCAUCUCCCACCAAAUGCUGAAAAGGAGGAGUUUCCUGAAAAAUGAUGACCUCAUCAUGUUUGUGGACUUUUGAAGAUAUCACCCACCUCAGCCAGACUGAAGUUCCCACUAAAGGCAAAAGACUGAGCCCCCAAGGCCUCAUUCUCCAAGGCCAGGAGCAGCAGGUCUCCAAAGAAGGUUCAGGAAAGGCCAUGUUAGAGGAAGCCGUACCUGUCAGCCUCAGCCAGGGGCAGCCCAGCUGACAGAAGCCGUCAGUGAAGAACACAGGCCCCCUGGAGGACCAUAACUGGCCACAGUACUUCAGAGACCCAUGUGACCCAAACCCUUGCCAAAAUGAUGGCAUCUGUGUGAACCUGAAGUGGGUGUUUCCCUCAGGUGCAUCUCUGGACAUGCUUUCUUCUAAAUGGGAGCGCUGUCAGGCCAUGCAGUUGCACGGCAGCGUCCUGGGCAUGGUGAUUGGAGGCACGGCUGGUGUGAUCUUCUUGACCUUCUCCAUCAUUGCCAUCCUUUCCCAAAGGCCAAGGA